Ostrea edulis (European flat oyster) is the source of this 891-nucleotide long non-coding RNA. RefSeq lists it as uncharacterized. The transcript is spliced from 5 exons. The record is from RefSeq and is a predicted model, not a curated record. NCBI's taxonomy places the organism in Eukaryota, Metazoa, Mollusca, Bivalvia, Ostreida, Ostreidae.
UAGCCUGGUUCCCGAGGCCUUCCGACGUGCAAGCACGAAGGCCAGGCACUCACUGUCGAAUGGAUUCUUCCACUGAUCAAAAUCCAAUAUGGCGGACUCAAUGAUAAUUUUCCAUACAUAUGGAAAGAAGAAACAUAUGAUAGUGGGUGAAAAAACACCCUCAUAUAUAAUGCUUCAUGAAUAUGCAAAACCAUGCCAACAGUCUACAGACUCCAGAUGGAAAGAGAUGGAGAAAGAAUUUCUAAAGGGGUAUUCAAGGACCCAUCCUCCUCCACACUAAUUCAUAUUGGAAGGAAUUGACAUCCAACUUGAAUAAAGAAUUACAGACUUCCAGAACAGGUGCAUCAUGGAGAUCCUUUUAAAAAGGAGAGGCCAGAUCUUCAGAUGACUUUAUUGAAAAUGAGAAAUUUCUGAGUGGAAGUGACGAAUGUGGCAUGCAUACAAGCAGACAUCAGCAUUCCCUCCCUCUUGUUUGUAUCAGAGGUGAGCUUUUUGAGCAAGACUCAUGGAGGAAGUUUGAGAGUGUCAGUUCUCAGAUCAAAAAGUUAGCUAGCAGUAGGAGGAGUAGCAAUUCAUUCCACAGUAUGACAUGAGAAAUACGUGACUAGAAAGACCUUAAAAAGGAGAUUUGGCAUUGUUUCAUGUGGAGAUUAAAGAACCUUCGAAAUAUAUAACACAGACAUGUUUCAGUUACUUGGGGAUAACACUUAUGAGGAAUUUUGCUAACUUUCAGAUUGGAAUGUGUUGCACAAGAAAUGCUUGAUCACAACCCUCUUCUGUUAAAAACCUUUUCUAUGCAAUUAAUUAGUGUAAAUGAAAUUUAGCUAUUUCAUUAGUAAACAUGUUUUCUGCGCAAGUGUGUGUCUUUGACAUUAAAUGCUAUGAUAUUGU